Astatotilapia calliptera (eastern happy) is the source of this 1128-nucleotide long non-coding RNA. NCBI's taxonomy places the organism in Eukaryota, Metazoa, Chordata, Actinopteri, Cichliformes, Cichlidae. The record is from Ensembl.
GGUACUGCACUGCAGUGAUUUGAAUCGUAUCUAUCCUAGAGAUUCCAAUUUGUUCAUGUAAAUGGAGAGUCCUCUUCACACUCUAAGGCUUAUUAUGAUGUUCCACUGAAAAGCCAUCAGCUGAUCCAAAAUGCUGCAGCUACAGUACUGUCAGAGACUAGAAAGAGAAAGCAUAUUUCUCCCAUACUGGUUUCCCUUCAUUAGCUCAAUCCAGAAUCGCAUUUAAAAUACUGGUCCUCACAUACAAGGUCUUUAAUAAUCAGGGCCAUCUUAUCUACCGUAUCACUCCAUUACAAUACUCUCAGACUGCUGGCUUAAUUAUGGUUUGCAGAGUAUAAAAGUAGAAUGGGAGGCAGAGCCUUCAGUUUGGAUUCGGGAGACAGACACCCUCUCUGCUUCUAAGAUUAGGCUUAAAACUUUCCUUUUUGAGUAAGCAUACAGUUAGGACUCAAUCAGGUGACCCUUAGUUAUGCUGCAAUAGCCCGAGGCUACUUGGGGAUUCCCAUGAUGCAUUGAGUGUUUCUUUUUCAGUCACCUUUUCUUUUGUUUCUUUUUUCUUUUUGUUGCGUGUCCCGUUUGGCUCUUUUGCCAUCAGAAUUGUUGUCUAAAGGCGAAGAAAGAUGCCCAACGGAUUUACUUUACCAAAUGGAUCAUCCCAGCCUUGCCAUAAUGGUCCAUUUGAUUCACCAUUUAUUUUUUAUUGUAUUUUAUUUUCACUUGCUAAAUACGGGACAGACUUGACUGGGGAAAAGAAAGGGGAGAAAGAAAGAGGGAAAGAAAAACAGCGGAGAAGAGGGACAGGGAUAAGGGGCAAAAAACAAAAACCAACAAAAUAAGCAGACAAAAAAUACAUAUAUCAAUCACCUGGAUCACCUGUUGAGAAAGAAAAAAAGAGAAAACAAGCAGAAGAAAAAGAGAGCAAUAUAAUAAACAACAUCACGAUGAUCUAUGGAAAUAUAACAGUAAAUACUAAAUAUUAAACAUUCAGUCACCUUUUCCACUCACAUUUUUUGUUUGGUAACAUAUGUGUUCAUACACCUCUCUGCAUUUUAUUAUUAGUUAUUACCUUUACCUUACCUAACAAUUUAAAACGCUUUGAGACAUCUUUUGUUGUGAUUUUUUGCUAAA